GACGAACGCUGGCGGCGUGCUUAACACAUGCAAGUCGAACGGUGAAGCUCCAGCUGGUUGUAGAGGAACAGUGGCGAACGGGUGAGUAACACGGGAACAACCUGCCCAGGGCUCGGGAAUAAGCGCUGGAAACGGCGACUAAUACUGGAUACGAGAAGGGUCCGCAUGGGCACUUUCUGGAAAGUCUUUCGGUUGUGGAUGGGCGCGGGGCCUAUCAGCUUGUUGGUGAGCGAAUGGCUAACCAAGGCGACGACGGGUAGCCGGCCUGAGAGGGCGACCGGCCACACUGGUACUGAGACACGGCCCAGACUCCUACAGGGGGCAGCAGUGGGAAAUAUUGCACAAUGGUCGAACGCCUGAUACAGCGACGCCGCGUGAGAGAAGAACGCCUUCGUGUUGUAAACCUCUUUCAGCAAGGAAGAAGCGAAAGUGACGGUACCUGCAGAAGAAGCACCGGCUAACUACGUG
RNAcentral lists this ribosomal RNA (468 nucleotides) under uncultured bacterium. Its description in RNAcentral is "partial 16S ribosomal RNA". It matches the Rfam family "Bacterial small subunit ribosomal RNA", at positions 28 to 507 of the family's 1533-position model. The record is from RNAcentral.